This 253-nucleotide ribosomal RNA is filed under the name uncultured bacterium. RNAcentral's name for it is "partial 16S ribosomal RNA". It matches the Rfam family "Bacterial small subunit ribosomal RNA", at positions 524 to 776 of the family's 1533-position model. The record is from RNAcentral.
UACGUAGGGGGCAAGCGUUGUCCGGAAUCAUUGGGCGUAAAGAGCGUGUAGGCGGCUCGAUAAGUCUGCUGUGAAAGUCCAGGGCUCAACCCUGGAAGGCCGGUGGAAACUGUCGGGCUAGAGUCCGGAAGAGGCGAGUGGAAUUCCCGGUGUAGCGGUGAAAUGCGCAGAUAUCGGGAAGAACACCCGUGGCGAAGGCGGCUCUCUGGGACGGUACUGACGCUGAGACGCGAAAGCGUGGGGAGCGAACAGG